RNAcentral lists this ribosomal RNA (98 nucleotides) under uncultured bacterium. RNAcentral describes it as "partial 16S ribosomal RNA". It matches the Rfam family "Bacterial small subunit ribosomal RNA", at positions 395 to 508 of the family's 1533-position model. The record is from RNAcentral.
CGCCGCGUGUGGGAUGACGGCCUUCGGGUUGUAAACCACUGUCGGGAGGGACGAAGAUCUGACGGUACCUCCAAAGGAAGCACCGGCUAACUCUGUGC